This 265-nucleotide ribosomal RNA is filed under the name uncultured eukaryote. RNAcentral describes it as "partial small subunit ribosomal RNA". It matches the Rfam family "Eukaryotic small subunit ribosomal RNA", at positions 587 to 870 of the family's 1831-position model. The record is from RNAcentral.
AGCUCCAAUAGCGUAUACUAAUGUUGUUGCAGUUAAAAAGCUCGUAGUCGGAUUUCAGAAUUAACAUUUCGCCUUUCAUGGCUGUGAUGUUUUUUCUUCUUAACGAGAAGCUAUCGUGGCCUUCACUGGUCGCGGUAGGGUAUCGUUUCUUUUACUUUGAGAAAAUUAGAGUGUUCAAAGCAGGCAUUUGCCCGAAUAUUACUCUUGGAAUAAUCGUAUAGGACUUUGGUUCUCAUUUGAUGGUUUGGAGGCCGAAGUAAUGAUU